AACCAGUAUUUAAUGCACACUUUCUAUGAGCAAAAGAGACUCUGGACUUGAACCCGAAACUGAUGAUUAUAAUAAUAAAAUAGAAUGCUGGUAUCUGGUUUACUGAUUUCCAGUGCAUACUGGCUUCCUGGAAAACAACUCGAAUUACUUAAGACUUUUGUGGAAAGAGAGAAGCAAUCAUAGACAGACUGAUUGGUUUCUUGAUUGAAUGGUUUUCAACUGUGACUCCAGCUGAGGAUUGCAAACUAAGCCUGUAGCAUUACUCCAUCAGCUGCAGUGAGCAGAGUGGGGCUCUCCAGGGAUGGGAAACCUUCAAAGAUCGUCAUCAUCAAAGGACCCUGCUUGAAUCUACAGCCAUUCGCUGCCUUCACUGUGCUAUCCAGUGAGCUUUCCAUUGCUUCUGACACUUGAAAAUCAGAAAUGAAUACUUAUAUCAAGGAAACAACCAUAAAGGGCAUGCUACAGAAUGCAGAAUUUGGGGUCUGCCCUUUGUGAUCAUCAAUAUUUUCAUUUCCUUACACACUGAAUAUUAUAUUAUAUAGAAUGCUUAGAGCUAUGCUUUCUUAGAAUCAGUCUGUGAGAGACGCAAGGGUGACUAAUUGUCACCCUCUUUUAAAGAUUAAGGUGAGAUUUAAAGAUGUCAAUCCACUUGCCCCUUGUUGUAGGACAAAUAAAUAAUGGAGAAGGGUCUGGAUCUAAGUUGUGUUUUUCAAAAAUUCCAAGGUGAGUGUCCUUUAACUACACAACACUAAAGAGUUACCAUGCAGCAGGACAAAAUGUAAGGAUAACUAUCCCACUCAUCUAUUUUUAACUAAUGUUACUUGCCUUCCUUCCCCCAAGCAGCUAUAUGACAGUGUUUACUUAACUACUCCUUCAUGAUAAGUAACUUUUAUCAUAUGUUUCCUGGGGGGUUAUAAAUUUGUUCUGUUUAGCUUUCUAGAAGUAACUCAAAAGAAGGUCAUUUAUAUACUUAUAUAUAUUGCUCUGAGCUAUUUUUCAAAAUUAUGGGCACUCACCUCACCAUGUAGGGAUAGCAUAGAAACAUAUCUUUGCAGUCUUCUCUAAUAAAAUCCUAUGAAGUGACUUUUUUAAAAAAAUUGGCUGUGUAUUUUGCAGCAGCAAAAUUUUAUGAACAGAACAUAUUUGCGACCUGACGAAAUCAGCCCUGGUAUUUGCUAGAUGUUUUUAGGCAUUAUCUAAUGUACUACUUGAAAUACUCAUUUGCAGAUAGAUACCAUUAUUGUAUUUUAUUAGUGAUAAUGCACACUCUGCUAUCUAAAUAAUCUGUUUUACUUCACCUGGUCAAUAAAUGUGCUGAAGUUUGAACA
Molecule: long non-coding RNA, 1328 nt
Organism: Mesocricetus auratus (golden hamster)
Lineage: Eukaryota; Metazoa; Chordata; Mammalia; Rodentia; Cricetidae
Exons: 2
Source: RefSeq, a predicted model, not a curated record